GACGAACGCUGGCGGCGUGCUUAACACAUGCAAGUCGAACGGAAAGGCCCUGCUUUUGUGGGGUGCUCGAGUGGCGAACGGGUGAGUAACACGUGAGUAACCUGCCCUUGACUUUAGGAUAACUUCAGGAAACUGGGGCUAAUACCGGAUAGGAGCUCCUGCUGCAUGGUGGGGGUUGGAAAGUUUCGGCGGUUGGGGAUGGACUCGCGGCUUAUCAGCUUGUUGGUGGGGUAGUGGCUUACCAAGGCUUUGACGGGUAGCCGGCCUGAGAGGGUGACCGGCCACAUUGGGACUGAGAUACGGCCCAGACUCCUACGGGAGGCAGCAGUGGGGAAUAUUGCACAAUGGGCGGGAGCCUGAUGCAGCAACGCCGCGUGCGGGAUGACGGCCUUCGGGUUGUAAACCGCUUUCGCCUGUGACGAAGCGUGAGUGACGGUAAUGGGUAAAGAAGCACCGGCUAACUACGUG
Molecule: ribosomal RNA, 468 nt
Filed under: uncultured bacterium
Lineage: Bacteria
Description: partial 16S ribosomal RNA
Rfam family: Bacterial small subunit ribosomal RNA
Source: RNAcentral